GGGCUCCGGUGGAACAGCAGCUGCUAUGCAUGCAGAAGGUCCCAGGUUCGAUCCCUGGCAUCUCCA
Molecule: non-coding RNA, 66 nt
Organism: Podarcis lilfordi (Lilford's wall lizard)
Lineage: Eukaryota; Metazoa; Chordata; Lepidosauria; Squamata; Lacertidae
Source: the annotation of a GenBank genome assembly